Molecule: non-coding RNA, 72 nt
Organism: Xylariales sp. AK1849
Lineage: Eukaryota; Fungi; Ascomycota; Sordariomycetes; Xylariales
Source: the annotation of a GenBank genome assembly
GGUGCGGGAGUGCAGUUGGUCGCGCACAGGCUUAGCCCGCAAGGGUUUUGGGUUCGAAUCCUGACCGCACCA